UACGUAGGGACCGAGCGUUGUCCGGAAUCAUUGGGCGUAAAGAGCGUGUAGGCGGCUAUUUAAGUCCUGCGUGAAAUCCUGCGGCUCAACCGCAGACGGUCGUGGGAAACUGGAUGGCUAGAGUGCGGGAGAGGAGAGUGGAAUUCCCGGUGUAGCGGUGAAAUGCGCAGAUAUCGGGAAGAACACCCGUGGCGAAGGCGGCUCUCUGGGACGGUACUGACGCUGAGACGCGAAAGCGUGGGGAGCGAACGGG
This 253-nucleotide ribosomal RNA is filed under the name uncultured bacterium. RNAcentral describes it as "partial 16S ribosomal RNA". It matches the Rfam family "Bacterial small subunit ribosomal RNA", at positions 524 to 776 of the family's 1533-position model. The record is from RNAcentral.